GUGUCACGUGUCAAUUCAAACGAU
Molecule: non-coding RNA, 24 nt
Filed under: Arabidopsis thaliana (thale cress)
Lineage: Eukaryota; Viridiplantae; Streptophyta; Magnoliopsida; Brassicales; Brassicaceae
Source: RNAcentral